Molecule: ribosomal RNA, 239 nt
Filed under: uncultured bacterium
Lineage: Bacteria
Description: partial 16S ribosomal RNA
Rfam family: Bacterial small subunit ribosomal RNA
Source: RNAcentral
UAACCUGCCCUGGAGCGGGGGAUAACAUUUGGAAACAGAUGCUAAUACCGCAUAACAACAAAAGCCACAUGGCUUUUGUUUGAAAGAUGGCUUUGGCUAUCACUCUGGGAUGGACCUGCGGUGCAUUAGCUAGUUGGUAAGGUAACGGCUUACCAAGGCGAUGAUGCAUAGCCGAGUUGAGAGACUGAUCGGCCACAAUGGAACUGAGACACGGUCCAUACUCCUACGGGAGGCAGCAG